CUGAGAGCGAGGAGGAGCAGUGCCCGUGGAUGGCAGAGCAGACCUCGCCUGGGCCAGGUCUGGGCUCUGCUGCCACAACCCAACCUUCCGCCAGCGGCAGCUCCAGAUAAAGAAUGCAGAGUAUGUGCUUCGGUGUCACAAACUGUGCCUGGCCACCAUCCAUCAUCCUGUCAAGACAUCACUCCAGACAGCCUGGCUUCAAGCAGAACCAGAUCCAGGAGCCAGCUGAGGCCAGCACAGUUCUCUCCCCUGUGAAUGUGACAAUUGGCCUGGGUCCUGAUUCCCCACAUCCUGCUGCCUAACGUGAUGCACCCAUCAUCUCCAACCAAGAGACAGGGAUCAGAGAGUCAACAUGUCAGCAAACUACAACUCACCCGCAUGCAAGCCAGCUGUCCAAUGGGAAUUCUUCUGAUGGAGCGAUGGGGUGGACUGAGGUUUUAUACUUGCUUCCUCCAGUGAUGCAGAGCACUAUUUCCAAACCCAAGUAGUCCUCUGGCUCCCAAAAUGAGGGAAAAGAGAGGAGGAGAAGGAGGAGCUAAGCUGCACCCAUUGUCAGUGAGCACAGGUGCAGGAGAGAGGGGGUGCCAGACACAUCUCCACCUCCAUCCCUGGAUCUGUGAUUGACAGGUACUCGUAUAAUUCAUACAGGCCAAAGGGGACGAGGCAGGCAGAAUAACAGCCCCCUAAAGACACUCAUGUUCUAAUCCCUAGAACCUGUGAAUGUUAACCUUAUAUGGCAAGAAAAGGAUUUUAUAGAUGUGAUUAAGUUUAAGUUCUAAAAAUGGAGAGGUUAUCCCGGAUUAUCUGAGUGGGCCCCAUCUGCAAUCACGAGACCGAGGCAGAGGCAGAUCUGACCCUAGACAGAAGAGGAGAAUGCAGCAGCGCCCGCAGAGGCAGAGGCUGGAAUGGAGCAGCCCCAAGGCAAAGCAUGCUGGCCACCAUCAGAAGCCAGAGUACGUGAGGCACAGACGCUUCCCUGGAGCCUCCAGGGGAGCACAGCCCUGCUGAUACCUUGAUUUGGGCAUUAAGACUUAUUUUGGACUUUCGGCCUCUAGAACUGUGACAGAAUAUGUUUCUGUUUUUUACACACUUUGUGUGUAAGACUGUGUUACCGCAGUUGCAGGAAACUCACACCAGGGACUAGAGCAGCUCUGUGGUGACUGCUGGCGCUGGCAGAUCUGUCCAAGCGGACCAGGCCCUGGUUCCAGAAGUGAGGCCCUCAUGCAGAGGAGAGGACUGCACACCUGGAAGGGAGGUGGUGAUUAGGUAAUGAACAAUUCUUCCAUUCCUGUACCAAUUGAACAAGGCAGUCCCCUCUCUCCUAUUCACCCUCAUCCAGCCUCCUCCCCACCAACCCCAUCUACCUCCCUAGAGGGCACUUGCAUU
Molecule: long non-coding RNA, 1386 nt
Organism: Cercocebus atys (sooty mangabey)
Lineage: Eukaryota; Metazoa; Chordata; Mammalia; Primates; Cercopithecidae
Exons: 3
Source: RefSeq, a predicted model, not a curated record